GACGAACGCUGGCGGCGUGCUUAACACAUGCAAGUCGAACGGAAAGGCCCUUCGGGGUCCUCGAGUGGCGAACGGGUGAGUAACACGUGGGUGAUCUGCCCUGCACUUUGGGAUAAGCCUGGGAAACUGGGUCUAAUACCGAAUAGGACCACGCGCUUCAUGGUGUGUGGUGGAAAGCUUUUGCGGUGUGGGAUGGGCCCGCGGCCUAUCAGCUUGUUGGUGGGGUAAUGGCCUACCAAGGCGACGACGGGUAGCCGGCCUGAGAGGGUGACCGGCCACACUGGGACUGAGAUACGGCCCAGACUCCUACGGGAGGCAGCAGUGGGGAAUAUUGCACAAUGGGCGCAAGCCUGAUGCAGCGACGCCGCGUGAGGGAUGACGGCCUUCGGGUUGUAAACCUCUUUCAAUAGGGACGAAGCGCAAGUGAUGGUACCUAUAGAAGAAGCACCGGCCAACUACGUG
RNAcentral lists this ribosomal RNA (462 nucleotides) under uncultured bacterium. RNAcentral's name for it is "partial 16S ribosomal RNA". It matches the Rfam family "Bacterial small subunit ribosomal RNA", at positions 28 to 507 of the family's 1533-position model. The record is from RNAcentral.